CUCGCCUUCAGUUCCUCCCCGCCGCAUCUCCCAUCUCGUAUUUCCCAUCCUCCCUUCGCGCGUCUGGUUACUUGCAGGUUGUCAGAAUUACUAGGUUUUGAAAUUACGACUGGUACUCCAGGCUGGUAGAGCGGCAAGGUCGUGUACAGGUCUUUGUCUUUGAUGCAAAGGUGGAAGGUGCUGCUAAAAGAAAAGGAGUGUACUAGCUUGGAUGUCUUUCAAGCAAAGAUAAUGCUGACGUUGGAAGUGCUGAAGCCGACUGAUAAUCUUCCUGAUGAUAUAGGAUAGUUCAUGGGAAUGGGCUCUGAAAAUAUUUGGUCUUUUGUUGUGGGUGUUAAAAUGUCUGGAAGGGGGCUAGGUUUAGUGGAUGUCCAAGCUUUUGUUGAGCUGGUUUGGAAAACUGGAAUCCCCAGUUUUUUGUUUCCUUUUGUUUCGUUUUUCUGUAAGAACUCUGUUUCGUUUGGGCUUUUUCUAAAGCCGGGUAAUAUAUGCCUGUUGUCAA
RNAcentral lists this small RNA (502 nucleotides) under Oryza sativa Japonica Group (Japanese rice). Its description in RNAcentral is "sRNA Os10g0389150". The record is from RNAcentral. Lineage: Eukaryota; Viridiplantae; Streptophyta; Magnoliopsida; Poales; Poaceae.